This is a non-coding RNA of Pelobates cultripes (western spadefoot toad), 300 nucleotides long. Lineage: Eukaryota; Metazoa; Chordata; Amphibia; Anura; Pelobatidae. The record is from the annotation of a GenBank genome assembly.
AUCACUUAUGUCAUCCAUCGGCACAAUUAGCGAUAGGCUGGAUAAAUUGGAGGCAGGUGGUACUAACCAGACCGCUGCAAAUCCAACUGUUACCAGUCACCCACUCGUUGAUGUUAUGCCCGGUAAUACGUAUUGAAUCAAUUAACCCCUCGCACAUGGUCCCAUCUCACCUUAAAAAGGACAUUCUAGAGGGCAAGGAUGUCAACCUGGUUUCAUUGCUCAUUGCCACCCAGGAUGUCCUAGAGAACAGGACCUUUGCAUUCGGGGAUAUUUCAGUGGUUCUAAGGGCAAGAGACCCCC